GACGAACGCUGGCGGCGUGCUUAACACAUGCAAGUCGAACGGAAAGGCCCUGUUCUUGUGGCGUGCUCGAGUGGCGAACGGGUGAGUAUCACGUGAGUAACCUGCCCUUGUCUUCGGGAUACCUCAUGGAAACAGGGGUUCUUACCGCAUAGGAGCUCCUGCAGCACGGUGGGUAAUGGAAAGAUUCGGAGGUUCGGGACGGACACGUGGCUUAUCAGCUUGUUGGUGGGGUAGUGGCUUACAAAGGCGUGGACGGGUAGCCGGCCUGAGAGGGUGACCGGCCACAUUGGGACUGGGAUAGGGGCCAGACUGCUACGUGAGGCAUCAGUGGGAGUUAUUGCACAAUGGGCGGAAGCCUGAUGCAGCGACGUCGGGUGCGAGAUGACGGCUUGCGGGUUGGAAACCGCUUUAGCGUGGGACGAAGCGUGAGUGACGGUAAUGGGUAAGGAAGCACCGGCUAACUACGUG
This 468-nucleotide ribosomal RNA is filed under the name uncultured bacterium. RNAcentral's name for it is "partial 16S ribosomal RNA". It matches the Rfam family "Bacterial small subunit ribosomal RNA", at positions 28 to 507 of the family's 1533-position model. The record is from RNAcentral.